GGUCUCCUACGGGGCGCAGCAGUGGGGAAUAUUGGACAAUGGGGGGAACCCUGAUCCAGCGACGCCGCGUGAGUGAAGAAGUAUUUCGGUAUGUAAAGCUCUAUCAGCAGGGAAGAAAGAAAUGACGGUACCUGACUAAGAAGCCCCGGCUAACUACGUGCCAGCAGCCGCGGUAAUACGUAGGGGGCAAGCGUUAUCCGGAUUUACUGGGUGUAAAGGGAGCGUAGACGGUUAUGUAAGUCUGGAGUGAAAGCCCGGGGCCCAACCCCGGGACUGCUUUGGAAACUGUGUAACUGGAGUACAGG
Molecule: ribosomal RNA, 305 nt
Filed under: uncultured bacterium
Lineage: Bacteria
Description: bacterial SSU rRNA
Rfam family: Bacterial small subunit ribosomal RNA
Source: RNAcentral